This 159-nucleotide ribosomal RNA is filed under the name uncultured bacterium. Its description in RNAcentral is "partial 16S ribosomal RNA". It matches the Rfam family "Bacterial small subunit ribosomal RNA", at positions 338 to 490 of the family's 1533-position model. The record is from RNAcentral.
CCUACGGGAGGCAGCAGUAGGGAAUCUUCCACAAUGGACGAAAGUCUGAUGGAGCAACGCCGCGUGAGUGAAGAAGGAUUUCGGUUCGUAAAACUCUGUUGCAAGGGAAGAACAAGUAGCGUAGUAACUGGCGCUACCUGACGGUACCCUGAGAGAAUC